Molecule: long non-coding RNA, 9327 nt
Filed under: Phaseolus vulgaris (common bean)
Lineage: Eukaryota; Viridiplantae; Streptophyta; Magnoliopsida; Fabales; Fabaceae
Description: long non-coding RNA (PVUL_LNC001105)
Source: RNAcentral
CUCAAUGAAGCAGUAUCCCAGGGUUUUAUCAGUUUCAGGAUCAACAGGCAUCCAGAGACCAUCCUCUUUUAUAACACCAAUCUGACUAUAAAUUUUCCUAACCACUCCUUCGAGCUUCUCAAACUUCUCCUUCGGAACGACGGGGAGGCUAUCCACGACAAUGAUGUUACCAAAUCCAGACUCGAACUCGAGAUUAUCCUCCUGGUAAACUUCAUCGUCAUCGCUGAACAGUGUAAAAAAAAAGCGUAAGAGCACCGCUACCUAGGGUUUCAGUCCAGUGGCCAGAACAAAAAUACAUUGGAAAAUACGAAAUUCGCACCUGACAAUUCCACAGUUUUCGCCGGGAGGAAGACGAAUGGAGUCGAGAUCGAGUGUGGAGAGAUCAAGGCCGAGACGCAGCGCCGUGUCUUCGAUCUCCUUCAUUACCAUGACAUCCGCCAUGAUUGUAGCGACAGACAACGGUCUUAGCGUUAUGGAGGCAGAGUAUGCAGAAUAGAGAGUUUGGUUUCUAGGGUUAGGGUUCUCUCCGACACAUGCCAAUAAAAUACAAACAAAUGGUUCACUUGCCAAAAUUUUGUAAAAAAUCUUACUAUUAAAAAAAAAAAAAAAACUCUCAUGCAUUCGCUCUUCUUCUCUUAUUCGAUUUCCAUUUUCACUAAUUCCAAAAUUCAUUUUUUUACAAUGACGAUACUACCCUCUUCCACUCUCUGCCACGUAAUCCGGCACUGUUACGGUUGUCAACGCAACAGAUACGCAUCAUAUAUUGGUAUUAACUUAAUUAUUUAUAUUUAUAUUUCUUUUGAAAACCCAUAAUAUCUUGUAAACAUUAUGUUAUUAUUUCUAGGCAUACUUGAUCAUUCAAACUUUUGAAAAAGAAAAAUAUUAACAAGCUUCUUAUAAUAUUGUAAUUUGAUUUUUAUUUUUUAUUAUAUUUUAAAAAAUAAUAAGAUUUUGAAUUGAUUAAAAAUAUUUGACUCAUAGUUCAUGUCAUUCAAUAUUUAUGAAAAUUAUAAUACUUUUUGAAGUACUAGUUUGUUAUCCAGUAAUGAGGUGGUAAUUCUUUUUAAAAAAGGUAAUUAUCAAUUUUAAAUAAAUAACGUUAAUAAUCUUACAUACAGAAGUAAUUUAGGAUGAAUAAAAAUUGAAAAACAACAAAUAUUAUGUAAAAGAACAACAACCUCUUUUUCUUCUUCAAGUUUCUCUUCUUCUUCAAGUUUUUUUUUUCUUUCAUUAUUAGUUUAGGAAUUAGAGAGUGUGAUGAUGUUCUGCUAAGGUUAGGAUUAACUUGAUGUAGAUACAAAAUAAUAACGGUUUACCAAAGAAUAUAGUUGCUUGAAAUGAAAUGAAGAGAGUGAUUGAAAAUUGAGGUUUAUAUGUGAGAUAUGGAGUAGAAACUUGUGAGAGUACCCUCUCUCUUUUCUUAUUAUUGCAUUAAAAUAAGAAAUUAAAGGAAGAAUAGAGAGUCUUAUAUAAAAAUUGUACAUUAAUAUUAAUUUAAAAAUUAAAAAAAUAAUUUUAUUUUUAAAUAAUUUAUAUAAAAUGAUAAAAUAUUUCGUUAUACUAAUAAAAUGAGAUAUAUUAAAUAAGGAUAGAAUCGAAAAAAAAAAUAUUUACACAGAAAAAUGGUUAGAAUGGAAUUCUCCUUUACACAUAUGUAUAGAUUAAUUAUAUAUAUAUAUAUAUAUAUAACAAGGUAUAAGUGAAAAAUAUUAAAAUUAAGUUCAAAUAACAAAAUUGAAUAUUAUGAAAUGUAUAGUAUAAAGUGUUUCAAUUGUGUAUUUGACACAAUAAGUCUUCUUUAAAGAGGAAAGAAAUAGAAAAAAAAUGAAUUUUUAAUUAUUUUUUUUAAUCAUUUGCUACCCAAUUACUAAACCAAAUAUAAAAUUUAAAUUGUAGUUCGGUUUUGUUCAAUUUAAAUUGUAACAAAAUUAAAUUAUUCAGUUUAAUUCAAUUUUUAUGGUUUUUACUGUCAUAAAAUUAUUUAAUAAUCUCUAAAGAAAGUUAAAACAUUUGUUUUACAAAAUUAUAUUUGAAGAUUUUAUAAUAAAAAAAUAUCAAAUAGAAAGAAAUGUUGUGAAUAGUUAGUGUUCAAUCAUUUUACGGGCAAAGGAAACACUUAUAUUUUAAAGGUUAUCUUUUUCAACUUACAUUAACAAAUUAUAAUUUAGUUUUUAAGAAAUAUGAUUAUAUAUGUCAUUUGUAUUAAAUAAUAAAAAGAAAUUUCACUCACACACAUGAGAUACUGUUAAAUGACACUAAUACUUCUUUUAAAUUUUAAGCAUUCAUAUUAUUUUAUUUAUAUUUACACUUCUAAAAAAAAACACUGUAUAUAAUGUGUGUGAGUGAAAUUUAUAUUUAUACCAUUUUAAUUGUAAAUAUUUAUAUAAAAUCAAUAUUUUUAUAAAAAAAAACUUUUUAUAUUUUUCAAAACCAAUAUUUUUAUAAAAAAAAACUUUUUAUAUUUUUCAAAACCAAUUUUUAAUUGAACAAAAAAUAAUAUUUUUUACGUUUAUAAUAUAAUAAAUAAAACUUUCAACUUCUUAUGAAGAAACUUUAAAUUCUACUUUAAAGCUUUUUAAUUGUAAUUUUGAAAGUAUUACUCCAGCACAAACAAUGUCAAAAGAUUAGAAAAAAUGUAUAAUUUAGCAAAGAUGAAUACAGCACUCUACAUUCAAGAUUCUAAUUAUAAAUAUUUACUUUAAAAAAAUUAAUUAUAUUAAAAAAACAUAACUUUUAUUUUAAAAAUAAAAUUAUAAUUGAACAAAUAGAAUAAAUUUUAACAUUGAUAAUGUAUAAUAAUUAAAGCUUUCAACAUUUUCUUAUAAAUGAACUUUCAAUACUUAUUUUUAAUAUUUUAUUUCAUUAAAAAUUUAACUAAUAUGUUCUUAUUUUAAAAAAAUAAAUGACAAGUGUCAUUUCAAACAUUGUAAUUUCUAGUAUUAAAAACCUAGAUAAACUGUCUAAUCUAGCAAAGAUGACUACAAUCAUUUAAUCAAUAAUAUGAGGAGAAAUUCUUCAUACAUGCAUAUCAGUCACAGAUUGAAACCAAAAGUGCUUACAGAUUAAUAACUCAAAUUUUGUACUUCCUCAAAAAAUUCUAAUCAAAACAAAAUUAUUCAGAAUUUGAUGUUAAAUCUAGUUAAGAAUAAGUUAAAAAAUAUUUACAAAAACUUAAGCUGGGUAAUAUACUAAAAUUGUGCAAUCUCAUCAAAACCUUCAAAAUUGGGUUUCACAAAUGCCCAACUAAACCUCAGACAGAAUAAAAUGUUCUGGUAUAAACUAUAGAACUCACUCUUGACCGUACUCAAGGUGAAGGACCUCUUCUGAUACAUCAAUGACUUCCUCCACUUCAAUGUCCUUCGCCUCGUACUCUUCCUCUUCAUCGCUAGCUUCCCCGUCCCUGAGCUUCUGUCUAUGUAAGCUCUCCUCCUCGUGGAUCCGCUUCCAUUCAUGGAUCCACUUGUCCCAAUCUUCUUUCAACAUCCUCCGCUUAUCACGUUCUUGCUCACUCAACAGCAGCGAGACAUCUUGAUCUUCUGCCUCAUAUUUCUUGCUGUACUUCUUCAAAUUCUUGGCAAUCUCUUCCUCUUUCUCGGGACUCAAGAAAGAUGGUGGCCUUGGUCUCCACAAGAACUAUAUAUAAAGAAAACAAAUACAUUCAGGCUUGAUUUAUCCACACACAGGACAGUCAGUGUCAUACAACAUGCAGAAUAGCAAUAAAGAUUUGUGUAAUAAUUUCAAAACUGUGUAAAUUCUUCUAUCACAAUUCCACUACCAAAACAUUGAUUCAAAGAUGGAAUAGUACAAUGUCCAAACCUAUCACCGUAUGAACAUUCUUCCAUGUACCCUUAUAUAAUGAGGGUACAAUUGCCAAAAAAUGCAUCAGAGUACAAGUAAUAUAGUACCUGAAAGAAGUGAUCCUUCAGAAUCCGAUAUAGAUGUUUGCCAUUAAAAGACCAUAUAUUGAAACCAUUUUCCAUUUCAUGAACUGAUGUCACAGCAGUUGCGACAUACCUGCAUUACAAAGAAAGGACACUAUAAGCUAGUGAUAAUCAACAAAUCAAUGAAAAGUAUUUCUCAGCAAAGUGCCUAAGGUAAAUAAAAUUCUAAUCGGAUUUUACACAAGAUUAACCUACGAACUGCCUUCAUCAGCAANNNNNNNNNNNNNNNNNNNNNNNNNNNNNNNNNNNNNNNNNNNNNNNNNNNNNNNNNNNNNNNNNNNNNNNNNNNNNNNNNNNNNNNNNNNNNNNNNNNNAUACCUUCCAGUUGGAUCCCAUUCAAUAUCUGUUGCCAUAAAAUGUUCAGCAGUAGCCAUGGUUUCAAGUUCAUCAACAUUGUAAAAUUCCAACUGCCCAUUGAAUCCUUUCAGCCCAGCUAGUACAAUGUAACGACCUGCAGGCGACCAAAAUAGAGCAUUUGCUUGCUUGCCUUUCAGAGUAGUGAGUUUUGAAACUCGGCUAUUCUGACCAGUGCGCAUGGAAUAAAUGCUUACAUCAGGCUUAGGGUUAUCACCAUGAAUAACCACAAACCUAUGGCCUUUUGGCUCCCAAGCAAAUGCAAUGAUCUUAUCAUUCUUAUUUUCAAGCUCCAAUACCUCAAUAGGUAUGUCUCGUUCUUUUAUUCGGAAAAGCUCAAAUCCUGUGUAUGUGCUCUUUUUUGUUUUUGUAUAGCGUUCUACAUUAACAGCAAGGUAGUCUCCAUUGCUUUGCCAGUAGAUCUUGCAGUCACUGACACUGAAAAGGUUUUUCUGCCUGAGUUCUUCUUUGCUGGGGACUUGGAUCAGACUCACCUAUAAAUAUGUAAAAGAACAAAUAUAAUGGUUGAUAAAUGAUAUGGCCAUUAAGUAUGAUAAAAAAGUAAAUUAUUUCAAUUCCCGUGCAUAAAACACAGUCUUACCCUCGCAGGCUGGUUUCCACCCCCCAUCUCAGGAACAAAGAGAGCAAUAAUUGGAUCAGUUGGAGACCAGCAGAAAUCCAUUAUAUUUUCAACCUUCAGAGACUUCUUGUCAACGAGAGAAAAGGUCUCGGUCUCAUACACAGAGAGUACAUUUUUUCCCAUCCUUGCAAAGUAUUUAUCAUCUCUUCCACCACUCCACCUGUAAAGACAGUGACAGUAAUGAAUUACUGCAUUAGACACCAGGCAGAUGCUAAUAUAAUUGCAUGAACUAGACCAAGAUAAUGAAUAAAAUAGUACUUGAAAACAGGCCAUGAAACUCCUGUGACACCCCCAGCCCCUCCAACUGCAAAAUCAUCGGCACUACCUUUAAAGUCCCUCAUCACCUUGCCAGUUCUCACAUCAAAUAUAUUUAUCACAACCCUCUACAAAACAAGUCAGAGUUAGGAAGAGUGUCCAUCUAAAGUACUAAAAAAACAAAAAAGAAAGCACUCACAUUGGCAUCUCGGGGAUUGCUUGGUUCAUUGCUACUAUAAGUUACCAGAUACUUUUCACCGGGUGAAAAAUCAAUAAGUUUUACCUGUGUUCAAUAUUACUAUGAAUAAUUUGGUAAAAAUAAAAAGAAACCCAACGUCAGAGAGCCAAACAAUUAUACAGAAUAAAUCUCAAAGAAAACCUGAGGAUGUGCAUAUCGCAUGAGUCUGUUAAAGCUUGAAGAACCUCCCCAGACAGCUGCCCCCUGUCUGUGAACAGUGGCCAAGUAUGUCCCCAGAGGAGACCAUUGGACAAAACUUUCUGUCCAAAACUACAUCAAUCCACAAUCAUGUAAAGAUAGGCAAUAAUAAAUAUCAUAAGUACAAGAUACUCAAAUAAAAUGUCUACUCACAGCCCGCUUAUAAACAGGAUCAGGCUUCAAAUGCCUUGCAUCAUUCCACAAAACCUCAGUAUCUGAACCAGCACGAAUCACAAACUGGUCCCUGGCCUUAGCAUCAGUGAGCCAGUGUUGAAGAUUUUCCUGAAACAGAUGCCAAAACCAAAGAGCAUAAGAAAUAUCAAUAAGCUACAAAGUUCCAGUCUGACAGCUACAAGAUCAUGGCUAAAUACAAAUAAAUUAUGUACAAACUUUAAACUACACAACAAGUAAAGAAACUGUAUUCACAAAAUCCACGUAAUAAUAAAAUAUGCAUAGAACCAAAUUAAAAGCAAGCAAUGCAAACAUAUUUUGGACGGAGAUGACAUAUACAUAGUGAAAAGCCUCAAUAAUCCUAAUAUUGAGCAAUGAACCAAGUAUCUAGUAACACAUACAUCGUGCACAGUGUAUCUAUAGGUCACAAUUGUUAAUUGAAACAAAACUAAGGAAAGGUGAGGACCAUGACUGUCACAAAAUAUAAUUUAUGCAACAAUAUAUUAAAAUCUAGGCUUAGUAUCACAUAUCCUAAGUCCCAAAAAGAAGAAAAGUAUAUAUAAACAUUACCCCUGGAGCAUAUGGCUUUGUUUCAGGAGGAGCCCACUCAUUCGGAACCUUCAUAAACCUGUCAAAGUCAUCAAACAUGCUCACACAAAAUAUAUGUGCCCGAUCCAAUUUGUACCCAUGAGUCUUCUCUUUAGCAAGCUCUGCUUCCUAAAAAAAAGCACCCAAUUUAACCAUACAGAAUCAAAAAUUUCCAAUCCAAUAUCCACUGAAAACUGUCAACAAACAAAAUUAACACUGGUAUUGAAAACAACAAACGACUUAGGCCAACAAAUCUUUUAAAUUUCACUCUGUCCAGGUACAUUGAAGAAAGAGUGAAUAUACCUGAGGAGUAUAUGCAUUAUUUAUGUAUUAUAUCUCGAAUCAGGUGUUACCUCUCCUACGGAUUGUGAGGAUCAAAUAUCAGAACUUGAAAGCAUCUUGGAUUCUACCGUAAUAUUAAUUUCCGUGAUGAUUUGAUUUAAUUUUUCUGUGAGUGUGUUAUGCCCAAGAGAUUGCACACAAGAAUAAGACAAUUUUAUUGAUAAUAAUUCUGGACAUAACUAGAAUUAGAGUACAAACCCACAAAACACACACCUAAGCCUAUAUCUUCUGCCCGUAACUACCAGUGAUACAUAUAUCCCUAAAACACAUAUCUUUCUAAUCUAAUAACUGUCCUAUAAAAUAGUUAUGAUCCACACAAAAAAAAAACAUAGCUGAUAAAAUAACUGUCGUCCAUACACAUAACAACCUUUCUGAAAUAGCUUCAAUCAGUUGCUUAUUUUCUUUUUUGGUGACAAAGUUUCCAAGUCAUGCUGGUGACAAAGUCUUCUACUAGCCUAUCAGAGUGCUCGUGUGAUUGUAUGUUUAUACCAUUAAAAGAAUGUAAAUGUCUCUUUUUAUUUCUGUAGAGAUAUACUAUUGAAGAUCGGACAAAUAUGAAUGGAUAUAUAUAGUCUGCUCAGGAGAGUUGUAGGUAUUAUGACCAAGCCCGCUUUUCGGCGUUGAGUUUGAAACCAAAGAUUGUAAAACAUGACUUCUUAGAAAUUUUCCCAGAUAUGAUCAUUUACGACCCUCCAGAGGACUUGUUUGACGAUCAUUAGCUGCACAAUGAUGGAGAUAAUAGAAUAUUCUGCACAACUUUUAGACCACUUUGUUUCUUAUGACUAGGAUGAAAAAACUAACUUAAAAUUUUUAUGUAUCUGAGGUUGGGUAGAAAGUCUUUUUGAUACGUAGAAAUAUCAACAUGUAAUAGCAUUGGAUUUACACAUUUUUAAAGAUAAAUUACUAAGGGGUUAUUGGUUAUGGUAUAUUGUGGUGGUUUGUCUAUGCUAUUUUCUUAGAAGUGUUUUUUAAUAAGCAAAUCCUAUUUGCUUCUUAAAUUAGUCAUUGUUUUAAAGAAGUGUUAGGUUUCAGCUUAAAACCAAUUGCCACUAAUUGAAGUUGCCCAACAGAUAUAUAAGCCACACUCCAGGACUUUAGGCAGAUGAUGUGAGACUUCCUAACAUUCCCCUUCACAAAUGCCUCCUGAUUUCUCAGGUUUUUCAUUUCUCAGUUUCUUAUUUAAGUGGAAACAAUACAUAGGUUGAUGCUGUGGCUCCUAAAAGGCAGAAGGAGAUAUUGGAUUCUUUUCGUUCUGGAAAGGUAUUUGUUUAUUGCAUCAUGUGAUAAGUAAUGUGCAAUAAAUUUGUCCCAAAUGUUGGUAUUGAGAAUCUAAUAAUUAAUAGAUUAUUAAUGUUUUGUUUAGGUCAAUCUAUUAUUUACUACUGAUGUACUUGAGGAAGGAAUUCAUGUGCCAAACUGCUCAUGUGUGAUACGAUUUGACCUCUCAAAGACGGUUCGUAGUUAUGUCCAAUCUCGUGGAAUACCUAGGCAGCCUAAAUCCCAAUUUGUUGUUGUGAUGUUGGAGAGGCAAGUAAUCUGAUUGUCACAACCUGUUUGAUUUUGGAGAUUCCUUCUCCAUAGAACACUCUUAGUACUUAUUUUCAAGUGUGUAUUAUUUAAGUGCAUAAAAGUUGAUUUUUUUCACUUACUCAAAAUUGAUAUAAUAAAAAAGUAUAAAUGGGAGGAGGACAUUAAUUCAGUACACUAAUCUAGGCCUGUAAAUCAGGGAAUGAUCUUUCCUUUAAAUGCAGAAAAAUGAAUAUUUUCUCUGAUUUGAAACAGAUACAAAUGAGGAUGUUCAAAUAGGGAGAGGAGAUUAGUUCUCUGUAGACUAAUCUAGGCCUGAAUAUCAUAUAUUAAUAUUAACUUUACAAACCAAAUUGCAUAAUGCUGAUUGAUUUCUGUAGAUUAAACCCUGUAAUCCUAUUCUAAUUGUUUCCCUUAAUUAUCAGCAUUAACACUUGUAUCUACAGGGGAAAUCUGGAUGAAAGAAAUAAACUCUUUGACAACAUUAGGAGUGAGUGCUCCAUGACUGAUGGAUCUAUGACUAAGGACCAUGAAUCUAGUAUACUAUGUGGAAUCUACCGAGCUUCUGUGACUUUAGAUUCUAGUGUUAUAGAUUCUAGUGUUACUCUUAUCCACCGAUACUGUUGAGUCUUCGAUAUCCAUAGAACACUUUCACGAGAUCAAUAAGAUUGGAUCCUGUUGUGCCUAUCUUCUUUUUAACUAUUUGAAACAUAGUCUUUAUGUUCUUCUGCUUGCAAUUUGGAUUAGGUAUUGACAACAACAAACGACUUAGGCCAACAAAUCUUUUAAAUUUCACUGUGUCCAGGUACAUUGAAGAAAGAGUGAAUAUACCUGAGGAGUAUUGUACUCAAUGAAGCAGUAUCCCAGGGUUUUAUCAGUUUCAGGAUCAACCGGCAUCCAGAGGCCAUCCUCUUUUAUAACACCAAUCUGACUAUAAAUUUUCCGAACAACUCCUUCGAGCUUUUCAAACUUCUCCUUCGGAACGACGGGGAGGUUAUCCACGACAAUGAUGUUACCAAAUCCAGACUCGAACUCGAGAUUAUCCUCCUGGUAAACUUCAUCGUCAUCGCUAA